NUCCAGCUGACGAGUCCCAAAUAGGACGAAAUGCGCAUCCUGGAU
RNAcentral lists this non-coding RNA (45 nucleotides) under Trichobilharzia regenti. Lineage: Eukaryota; Metazoa; Platyhelminthes; Trematoda; Strigeidida; Schistosomatidae. The record is from RNAcentral.